AACAUAUUUGGUCGGUCGCUUUACCUUGAUUCACUUGGUUUGUGUAGCAGUACGCUCGUUCGGCGGCGGCGGUAGUAGGGUACUGUGGGCUUGGUUCUGUCGCUGUGGACGGGCCGGAGAUGGCGGAGUACAGCCAGACGGGUAUAUUAACGGCCCUGCUGCUGUUUACUGUGGUAACACUGAGGGAUAUUUAUGUGGGCCGCAACAGCAUGACUCAACAAGACAGCGCCGGACCCGACAUGCUCACACAGAGACCGAACAAACACACAUUCUACACGGGUCCGGUUCUCAAGUUCCAGUUCUGUAUUUCCUGAGGGUACAAUAAGGUGUUCCAGGAGUACUCCCGGUCCAUCAGCCAGCUGUACCCAGACAUCCGAAUCGAGGGAGAGAAUUACCCUCCCAAACCCAUCAACAAAUAUCUAGGCAACUUCAUCUCCUAUUUCAAACUCCUUGCCAUUGCUUUGAUUGUGACUGGACAAAAUCCUUUCCAAAUGUUUGGAAUGAACACUCCAAGAAUAUGGUUCUGGGGACAGGAGAAUAAGAUUUUCUCCUGCCUUAUGGCAUUCUUCCUUAGUAACAUGUUGGAGACCCAUUUCCUCUCGACAGGAGCUUUUGAGAUUACAUUGAAUGAUGUACCAAUUUGGUCCAAGUUGCAAUCAGGAUAUGUGCCCAACAUUCAGGAGCUUUUCCAGAUCUUGGAUAACCACCUUAAGAUGAAUCAGGUUGACAAGAUGAACUUUCCCUCACCGUAGUGCUGUUGUUUUUGCCAAGAGACAUCAUUCAGACAGAAAAAUCACAUUCACAGCGAUUUAGUUUACCAUGUCUAUGGAGAUUCAGCAGUUGCAGCUAUGGAAGCUUGUUUUCGCCAUGAAAUAAAGGUCUCCGGAGCUGUUUCUCUAGUCAGCGGGACUGUAGACUGUGGCAUAAUGAAGGCCUGCGCUGCAAACAGCACACUGUGAGCGCAGACUGGAUGCUCGGCCACCACACACACUCCUUCUGCCCGGCGACACACACCUUUGGAUCGACUACAUCUCUUCAGAGCAUCAAGCUUCAUGCAUUUGUAGUAGGAGAGUCACAUGAGAGCUAAAGGCACUACAUUUAUUACUGAAUGCUGAAGUUAGGGUUUUUUUUUUUUUUUGUUUUGUUUUUUUGGCCAGGGUAGUUCUGUUUGUAAUUGAAAUCGAAUGGAAUGUUCCAUCUUUCUCAAGGGCAACUGUGAUGUUUUCUUAAUGUAAAUGUCUUUAAAUGACCUUUAACAUGAUCAUGUGUUUGCACUGGUUUAGACUGUACUGUACUCGGGGUAGGCCUAUCUGACUUUUUUUUAAUUAGUGAGAAUGUUUGUGUACUGCAGAAUCAUGCAGUUUUGUUAGAGUGAGCUUAAAUGAGUUUAACUGAGUUUAAAUGCUUGAAGUGGUACAUUUUUGUUGUGUUUGUCACAGGUUCGCUGGUUAGAUUCAUAAGCACUGCUUGUGUUUAUUGAGGGAAUUAUUAAGGCCAGAUCUUCUUCUGCUUAGACUUGCCAGAGCACUGCCAGAGUAAUCUGUGGAAUUGUUUUAAUGAUGGUGUGAUUGAGAGUGUUGCAUAUCAGAAGAUGUGAAUGGGAAUUCCAAAGACAGCCUGUAUUUUUCCAGCUCUCUCCAUAUAGACAUGGCGGCAAGCAAUGUACCCCUUAUAUUUUAGCGUACCUCUCUGUGAAUUUGUAACAACAGUGAUACCGAUAGUUGGGAUUAAGUUGCAUUGAGAAAAUAUAUUUUACUUUGUUUCACAGUGAUGUAAAAUCAAGAUUCCAAUAAAUAAAAAUGUGAUUGUGAA
This is an RNA transcript of Ctenopharyngodon idella (grass carp), 1812 nucleotides long. It is a transcript of the gene named selenoprotein T, 2, with no coding region annotated. The record is from RefSeq and is a predicted model, not a curated record. NCBI's taxonomy places the organism in Eukaryota, Metazoa, Chordata, Actinopteri, Cypriniformes, Xenocyprididae. The transcript is spliced from 7 exons.